AGGACGAACGCUGGCGGCGUGCUUAACACAUGCAAGUCGAGCGGAAAGGCCUUUCGGGGUACUCGAGCGGCGAACGGGUGAGUAACACGUGAGUAACCUGCCCUUCACUUUGGGAUAACCCUCGGAAACGGGGGCUAAUACCGGAUAUGACCUUCCAGGGCAUCUUGGUGGGUGGAAAGUUUUUCGGUGGGGGAUGGGCUCGCGGCCUAUCAGCUUGUUGGUGGGGUAAUGGCCUACCAAGGCGACGACGGGUAGCCGGCCUGAGAGGGCGACCGGCCACACUGGGACUGAGACACGGCCCAGACUCCUACGGGAGGCAGCAGUGGGGAAUAUUGCACAAUGGGCGGAAGCCUGAUGCAGCGACGCCGCGUGAGGGAUGACGGCCUUCGGGUUGUAAACCUCUUUCAGCAGGGACGAAGCGAAAGUGACGGUACCUGCAGAGAGCGCGCCACUACGUGCCAGCGCCGC
Molecule: ribosomal RNA, 468 nt
Filed under: uncultured bacterium
Lineage: Bacteria
Description: SSU rRNA
Rfam family: Bacterial small subunit ribosomal RNA
Source: RNAcentral